UUAUUACUCUCUUCGUCCGAAAGUACUUGUUGUAAAAAUUAAUUAAAAUGGAUGUAUCUAGAACUAAAANACAUCUAGAUACAUCCAUUCUUCCGACAAGUAUUUCCGGACGGAGGGAGUAUGUG
Hordeum vulgare subsp. vulgare (domesticated barley) is the source of this 125-nucleotide non-coding RNA. Lineage: Eukaryota; Viridiplantae; Streptophyta; Magnoliopsida; Poales; Poaceae. The record is from Rfam.